Vicia faba (fava bean) is the source of this 195-nucleotide non-coding RNA. NCBI's taxonomy places the organism in Eukaryota, Viridiplantae, Streptophyta, Magnoliopsida, Fabales, Fabaceae. The record is from the annotation of a GenBank genome assembly.
AUGAAUCUUCAGUCUCUCUACACUCUUUCUUCUCUCCGUUUCUAUACUGUUCUGUUUCAAUUACUGUUGCAUCUUCGUUGUUGUGGAAGCUGGGAAUCAAACGAGAUAAUCCUCAAUUUUGGUGCGUUGCGUAGCUUGAUGCGGAAGAGGCCUGAAGACAGUGAGGGUUGCAGAUUCAUCGACGAAGAUCUUUGA